GAGGAAAGUCCGGGCUCUAGUUAGAUAAAUAUCGCUGUAUAAAAGACAGUAUAGGCAACUAUGAGGAAAGUGCCACAGAAAAAAACCGCCUAAUAAAAAAUAUAGGUAAGGGUGCAAAGGUGCGGUAAAAGCGUACCAGAAGUAUUAUGACAAUAAUACUAGCUAGGUAAACCCCAUAAAAGAGCAAGGUAAUACAUUCCAAAAUAUAGUCAUAUCUAUAGCUAUAUAUAACUUAAAAAAAUAAUCAUUACCGCCAAAAAUUAUAUGCAAGUAUAAAAUAUAGAUUAAUAACUACCCUUAAAAAAUUCAUACUCUUCUAUACAUAAAAUAGAAAUUUAUAAAUGAUUAAGAACAAAACCCGGCUUAU
This 367-nucleotide RNase P RNA is filed under the name Gracilariopsis mclachlanii. RNAcentral describes it as "ribonuclease P RNA". The stretch from base 2 to 184 matches the Rfam family "Bacterial RNase P class A", at positions 44 to 222 of the family's 367-position model. Lineage: Eukaryota; Rhodophyta; Florideophyceae; Gracilariales; Gracilariaceae. The record is from RNAcentral.